Molecule: ribosomal RNA, 506 nt
Filed under: uncultured Methylobacterium sp.
Lineage: Bacteria; Pseudomonadati; Pseudomonadota; Alphaproteobacteria; Hyphomicrobiales; Methylobacteriaceae
Description: bacterial SSU rRNA
Rfam family: Bacterial small subunit ribosomal RNA
Source: RNAcentral
CGCCUGGGAGUACGUCGCAGAUAAACUCAAAGAAUGACGGGGCCGCACAAGCGGUGGAGCAUGUGGUUAAUCGAAGCACGCGCAGAACUUACAUCCUUGACAUGCAGGCUACCAGAGAGAUUUGGUGUCCCUUCGGGGACCUGCACACAGGUGCUGCAUGGCUGUCGUCAGCUCGUGUCGUGAGAUGUUGGGUUAAGUCCCGCAACGAGCGCAACCCACGUCCUCAGUUGCCAUCAUUCAUUGGGCACUCUGGGGAGACUGCCGGUGAUAAGCCGGAGGAAGGUGUGGAUGACGUCAAGUCCUCAUGGCCCUUACGGGAUGGGCUACACACGUGCUACAAUGGCGGUGACAGUGGGACGCAAGCCCGCGAGGGUAAGCAAAUCUCCAAAAGCCGUCUCAGUUCGGAUUGCACUCUGCAACUCGAGUGCAUGAAGGCGGAAUCGCUAGUAAUCGUGGAUCAGAUGCCACGGUGAAUACGUUCCCGGGCCUUGAACACACCGCCCGUC